This 253-nucleotide ribosomal RNA is filed under the name uncultured bacterium. RNAcentral's name for it is "partial 16S ribosomal RNA". It matches the Rfam family "Bacterial small subunit ribosomal RNA", at positions 524 to 776 of the family's 1533-position model. The record is from RNAcentral.
UACGUAGGGUGCAAGCGUUGUCCGGAAUUAUUGGGCGUAAAGAGCUCGUAGGCGGUUUGUUGCGUCGGCUGUGAAAUCCCGAGGCUCAACCUCGGGUCUGCAGUCGAUACGAGCAAACUAGAGUGUUGCAGGGGAGACUGGAAUUCCUGGUGUAGCGGUGAAAUGCGCAGAUAUCAGGAGGAACACCGGUGGCGAAGGCGGGUCUCUGGGCCAUCACUGACGCUGAGCUGCGAAAGCUAGGGGAGCAAACAGG